This 402-nucleotide ribosomal RNA is filed under the name uncultured bacterium. RNAcentral describes it as "bacterial SSU rRNA". It matches the Rfam family "Bacterial small subunit ribosomal RNA", at positions 917 to 1322 of the family's 1533-position model. The record is from RNAcentral.
GGGCCCGCACAAGCGGUGGAGCAUGUGGUUUAAUUCGAUGAUACGCGAGGAACCUUACCAGGGCUUAAAUGUAGUCUGACAGCUUUAGAGAUAGAGUUUUCUUCGGACAGAUUACAAGGUGCUGCAUGGUUGUCGUCAGCUCGUGCCGUGAGGUGUCAGGUUAAGUCCUAUAACGAGCGCAACCCCUGUCGUUAGUUGCCAGCAUGUCAUGAUGGGGACUCUAACGAGACUGCCGGUGCAAACCGCGAGGAAGGUGGGGAUGACGUCAAAUCAUCACGGCCCUUACGUCCUGGGCCACACACGUGCUACAAUGGCCGGUACAGAGAGCAGCCACGUCGCAAGGCGGAGCGAAUCUAUAAAAUGUACCUCAGUUCGGAUUGUACUCUGUAACUCGAGUGCAUG